This 445-nucleotide ribosomal RNA is filed under the name uncultured bacterium. RNAcentral's name for it is "partial 16S ribosomal RNA". It matches the Rfam family "Bacterial small subunit ribosomal RNA", at positions 354 to 796 of the family's 1533-position model. The record is from RNAcentral.
GUGAGGAAUAUUGGACAAUGGGCGCAAGCCUGAUCCAGCCAUGCCGCGUGCAGGAAGACGCAUCUAUGGUGUGUAAACUGCUUUUGUACGGGAAGAAACACUCCCUCGUGAGGGAGCUUGACGGUACCGUAAGAAUAAGGAUCGGCUAACUCCGUGCCAGCAGCCGCGGUAAUACGGAGGAUCCAAGCGUUAUCCGGAAUCAUUGGGUUUAAAGGGUCCGUAGGCGGUUUAAUAAGUCAGUGGUGAAAGCCCAUCGCUCAACGAUGGAACGGCCAUUGAUACUGUUAGACUUGAAUUACAAGGAAGUAACUAGAAUAUGUAGUGUAGCGGUGAAAUGCUUAGAUAUUACAUGGAAUACCAAUUGCGAAGGCAGGUUACUACUUGUGGAUUGACGCUGAUGGACGAAAGCGUGGGGAGCAAACAGGAUUAGAAACCCCUGUAGUCC